CGAAAAGUUUGGAUUACGUUUGUAAUUCGUUUUAUAUUUCGCAUGAGUUUCUGCAUCGACACCACUUAAAUAUGAAUUUCAUCACAAAGUGGAAUUUGGCGCGUUGAAGAGAGUUGUCACAUACACACAGUGUGCAGAUUCGUGUGUGCGCUAUUUAUGUCGACACAAAUUGAUGUGUCAAACUGAUGCCGGUUGCACAUGCACAUUCAUAUUGAUCUGAGCAUUUGAAAAGGCAAGUCAUUUGUUGUGAAUACUGUUCGAUUUACAGUGAUUGUUUUUUUUUCUCAUUUUCUUCAUAAAAUUGGCCAAACUGACCAAAUUUGUAUGGGAGGUACCCUUAAAUCGCUUUCGAUUGGCUUCAAAAUUUCAUGAAUUAAGUUUUUUGGUAAAAAAAAUAAGAUUCAGAAAGUUUCAUGACAUUUGGAAUAUCACAAAUGGGAUUUCUAUUGGGAUUUUACUUUCAUGGUUUCAUAAAAAACUCAUUUACCUAUCUAAAUCUUGUGCUGACCUGAAAUUCCCAUAAACAAGCCACAGAUAUGGCUUUCGGCGCUUGAUUUGAAGCUGGCUAGAAGUUUUUGAUGGGCAGACUGUCAAAAAACGAGAUUUCCCAAAAAAAUUCACCAUUAUGUGAAAGUGAAAUACUGAGGGUUUCCGUAAACUGAUAUUCUUGCCUAUUUGAACCCAAAAAUGGUCAAAAGUGCUUGAUUUUUAUUACUGAUUUAGAUUUUUCGAACCAUUUUCCACAACUUUUGCCUUAUUUGACUCACUGUUUAACGUGAAAAAUUCUUAAAUCCCGCAUUUGAAAAUUAAAUGUUGAGAAUAUACGAAAAAUGAUAUUUUUGCAUAUUUGGACUCAAAAAACAUACAAAGUGGUUGGGUUUUUUACUGAUUUAGAAUUUUUCGGUCAUUUCCAACAAUUUUUGACUUAUUUGCAACAUGGUUUUGCGUGAAAAAUGCUUAAAUCCCGCACUUGAAAGUUAAAUCUUUAGGAUUUAACGAAAUUCGGGAAAAUCAUGAUUUCAAGGCCCCAUAAGGCUUAUCGGGUGUACUCAAAAGACCAGUUUUUCUUGUUUUCGCCCAAAUUUUACGUCCUACCCAAUCAGCUUUCAUUUUUUGGCUGUUUUCGCAAAGUUGAAAAUUAAAUUUUUGGAUUUAAUUAAAUCCGAACCACUUACAACGGGCAUAAGAGACCAGAAGUACCCAUGUAUUCUUUUCUGUGAUAAGACUUCUAUUUAUCCAAAACCGACGUGUUCAAUUAUUGUUUUACAAAACAGUAUCACCAUGGGAACGGUAAGCGCCUAAGCUAUUGGGCCAAGCAAAAAUGUAAAUAUUAUUGACCGUAAUAAGAAACGGGGACGUUAGUGUCGAUAUUUUCAGUUGGAAUAAAAACAAUUCGUUGAAA
This is a long non-coding RNA of Sitodiplosis mosellana (orange wheat blossom midge), 1402 nucleotides long. RefSeq lists it as uncharacterized. The record is from RefSeq and is a predicted model, not a curated record. NCBI's taxonomy places the organism in Eukaryota, Metazoa, Arthropoda, Insecta, Diptera, Cecidomyiidae. The transcript has 2 exons.